Molecule: ribosomal RNA, 773 nt
Filed under: uncultured Neocallimastigales
Lineage: Eukaryota; Fungi; Neocallimastigomycota; Neocallimastigomycetes; Neocallimastigales
Description: partial large subunit ribosomal RNA
Rfam family: Eukaryotic large subunit ribosomal RNA
Source: RNAcentral
AUGUGAUCGUCUCUCGCAUAUCAAUAAGCGGAGGAAAAGAAACUAACAAGGAUUCCCCUAGUAACGGCGAGUGAAGCGGGAAGAGCUCAAAUUUGAAAUCUUAAAGGGUUUCCCUUUACGAAUUGUAGUUUAAAGAAGUGUUUUCUGUUGAGGUUCUGGUAAAAGUUCUUUGGAAUAGGACAUCAUGGAGGGUGAGAAUCCCGUAUUUGACCUUUACUUUCAACUUUGUGAUACACUUUCAAAGAGUCGGAUUGUUUGGGAAUGCAGUCCAAAAUGGGUGGUAAAUUUCAUCUAAAGCUAAAUAUUGGCGAGAGACCGAUAACGAACAAGUACCGUGAGGGAAAGAUGAAAAGAACUUUGAAAAGAGAGUUAAACAGUACGUGAAAUUGUCAAAAGGGAAGCGUUUGACACCAGUGUUGUUUUUUUGAAAAUCAAUUAAAGAACUGUUUAUGCUAAGUUGUUUAGACUUUAUCAGCUAACUGUUUAGUUUUGAGCUUUUCUUUAAUGCACUUUUCAGUUAACAAGUCAACAUCAAUUUCUUUUGCUGUAAAAAAGCUUGAGGAAGGUGGCUUGAGAUUCGUCUUAAGUGUUUAUAGCCUCUUGCCUAUGCAGUCGGAGAGAUUGAGGUCUGCAGCGUAGAUCCUUCGGGGCUAAAUGCAUUUGUGCUAAGUUAUAGCAUUUUAUAGACAACUUGUUGACUAUGAUUUGUCUUGUAGCUUACUCGCUUAUGUUAUUUUACCUACGCUUAGGAUGUUGACACACGCGCGUGCUCG